Molecule: long non-coding RNA, 767 nt
Filed under: Dermacentor andersoni
Lineage: Eukaryota; Metazoa; Arthropoda; Arachnida; Ixodida; Ixodidae
Description: uncharacterized LOC126520218
Source: RNAcentral
CGGAGAUUUUGCCAUUGUCAAGUUUCCUGACGAAGGAGAUGCUGUUGCUGCAGUACGAUGCAGCUGGAUACGUGGUUGAAUGUGUAUGUGGCCACAAAAAGCUACAAAUGUGCAAGAGAUGGUGAGAAGCUGUACUGAGCCAGGUUCAGGAUGGAUUCAAACCACAUGUGUGGUUCUUGGUAUGUAUGAUAAUCAUAAGGAAGCAAGAAAUAAGCUCACCAAAGCAGAGCUCACGUCAAACUUGGAUACAGACCCUGACGAGCCAAGGAGGAGGAAGAAAAAGCGGCAGUUCGAUAGCAGCUCAGAUGAGUCUGUUGAGCCAUACCGUCUUCCAACUCCACCAACACCUCCCAGAAUGCAUUUUGCAGCCUGUGAACUGCUAAAUGAUUCACAAGAGGAGUCUCUUCCUUGCAGUGCCGGUGCCUCGACAGCUAUGUUGGUAAAGCCGCCGAUGAAGCAACCUUUAGUGAAAAGAAGAAAGGGCCCAUUCACCCAGAUUUCAGCAGCUACCGGUAAUAACAUUUAAUUUUCAUUUAGUGAACCUUGGCUGCACUGGGUUCGAUGCCUAAAUGCUAUUAAAGCACUGUGCUUUGUUGAAAUUAUUAUUAGUCUGUUCCUGUGCUUUAGUUGGGAGGGUAAGCCAUCCUAAGUGCACCUUCUUAGGUCAACAUGAACACAUUUCUCAUGUAACAAUCAGCAGGCAGCAAGGCCUCUCCUCGUCACUGCAUUGCUCCUGCUGGAACAUCGCGCCACAGCAGCCACAGUAA